Molecule: long non-coding RNA, 4008 nt
Organism: Equus caballus (horse)
Lineage: Eukaryota; Metazoa; Chordata; Mammalia; Perissodactyla; Equidae
Source: Ensembl
GGAACGUCAGGCCAGAGAGGUGACUUGUCCAAGGUAAAAGUUCCCAAGUUGGAGACAAUGGAAUUUCCCCCAGGUCCCACAAGCCACCAGCAGGUGGAAUGUGGGCUGUCUUGGGAGCUCUGACCACUGACAAGACUGAGGCCAGGCUGGGCCAUAUCACGCCUAUUCCUAUUUCCCAUGGGCCUUGACCAUCUAGGCAUUUUAGACGUAUGAAAGGCUCUUGUGGUUGCUGCUGAGAAUGCAGCUCUUGGAAAGAAGGAGCCUCCCACCCUGUUUCUGACGAUGCAACUCGGACAAUAAAACCACUCACUGGGAGAAAGGGCUUUCCUUGUGUAAUCUUAGUGGCACCAGAAGCCAUUAUCCAAAGAAUAGAGGCUAAGCCGAUGGCUCCUAAUUUUCCAUGGAAUCCCGGAGUUGGAAAAUUCCCUUAGAGACAGAUUUAGCCUGAUGUCUUUAUUACACAAGGGUGUGAACAAGGAUCUAGCGGGGAGGGUGAUGGCAUAGGCAGGGGAUGGGUACAAGGUCCAAAGCCAACGGGUAGGAGUUCACCUUCCACCACUGUCACUCUUGAGCUAUGUGAUUACAAAAGAAUUGCAUCACAUUGCUGGGCCUCAGUCUUCCCAUCUGUAAAACGGGGCCCAUAUUAUCAGCCACUGUUAAUUCCUCCACCAGGUCUCAUGUUCCUUAGGGGAAAGGCCAUGCUGAUCUCUUCCUCUACGUUUCUGUCACAGAGAGUCUGGCAUAGUAGUCUUGGCUUAACCAAAUGGUAGGAACAAUCCAUGAGGGCAUUCCUUCCCUAGACCAUCCACCACUCAUUUGUUCCUUUCAUUAAUUCAUUUGUUCAACCAAAAUUUAUUGUCGCCACUUAUGUGCUGGGGACACAGAAGUGCGGGAGACAGACUAGGAGCUUAUAAUUGACUGAUGGGGCUGGACAGGUGAUCACUGCACACUGGAAUGUGGGAAGCAUAGGAUACCAUCCGAACACGGGGAAGACCGCUCUCAUUUGCAGAGCCCAAGGAGACUUUCCUGAGGAGAUGGUGACUCAGCCAAGACUUCAAAGAUAAACAGGCUUAAUAUAAACAAAAGAAGCCCUGUUGGAGUUUCUGGAAAGAUAAGUGUAAUGUGGAAGGGGAGAGGUCCUCCAGUGCCACACAAUUCCCCUCCCUCCACCUCUGCUUCCCAAAGAAACAUCCUCACCCUGAGCAGGGACACAGGAGGUGGUUCAGGACCACGGAGAGCACCGCAGCCACCUUCUCACCACCGUUUUGAUCUUGUUAAUGCUAAAGGGCACAGCUCAGGCUAAGAUCUGAGUAAAAGAAGGGCAGGCUCUGUGGAGGUUUGGGAACCACCAGGUUGGGAGCAGAGGAAGGAGAGUCUAGGGGGCUGGCUAAGGUCCAGGGUAUUGACUGUCACUUCUCCAACUGGGUGAAGGCUGCAAUCCAGACCCAAGGGGAGCCUGGUGAACAACCAGGCCUGGGAGCCCAGGAAUCCCACUGGCCACAAGGAAAACAGCAGGAUGAUUGAGCUGACUUCAGUGGGCUCUGCUCCGGCCAUCCGAGGUCCCUGCCCAGCCACGCCAAGUACUGACAGGGGGACUGUGAAGCCAAAAGCUUCGCCUGGUGCCUGGUGCAGAGAAGGUGCGAGAUGCAAUGAGAUAAUCACCCGUGACAGAGGUAGUCACCUGUGCUCCAGAACCAUCCAGGAGGGCAGUAAUCAGAGCAGGAGACCCUUGAGUUAAGUCCUAAGAGGUGUAUAGGAUUUAACCAGAUGAAGAGAGACAGAAUCGGAUUCCAAGAGUUCCCCUCCAGUUCCCGUGUCCCCUGGCCAUCUCUUCUCCAUACUGAGCAUGCCCAGGUCCUGCCUCACACCCCUCCCCCGUGGCUGGUGUGGUCCUGCUCCUUAUUUAAGAGGCAGUGCCCAGGACAGAGCCUUGAGAGAGAACACAGCACAGUGUAGAAGCAUGUGGAGACUAGAGCCAGAUAUUCAAGUCUAGGCCUCAUCCUUGCCAGCUGUGCCAUCUUGGACAUGUUACUUAACUCCUCUGUUCUUAAGUUGCCUCAUCUACAGAAGAGGGGGAUAGUAACAGGAUUUACUUUGUAGACUUGUUGUGACGAUAUAACGCCUGGAAAGAGUCUAGACAUGGUGAACACUCAAGAAAUGUGGACAUCUCAACAUGACUAAUCAUUACGGAAACGCAAAUGAAAACCACAGUGAGAUAUCACCUCACACCUGUUAGAAUGGCUCUUAUCAAAAAGAUGAGAUAACAAGUGUUGGCGAGGAUGUGGUAAAAAGGAAACACUUGUGCAUUGUUGGUGGGAGUGCAAAUUGGUGCAGCCACUAUGGAAAACAGUAUGGAGGUUCCUCAAAACAUUAAAAAUAGAACUACCAUAUGAUCCAGCAAUUCCACUUCUGGGUAUUUAUCUGAAGAAAAUGAAAACACUAACCUCAAAAAUAUAUUUGCACCCCCAUGUUCCUUGCAGCAUUAUUUACAAUAGGUAAGAUAUGGAAACAACCUAAGUGUCCAUCUGUGGAUGAACGUAUAAAUAAGAUGUGGUACAUAUAUGCAAUGGAAGGUCAUUCAGCCAUAAAACGAAGGAAAUCCUGCCAUUUGCAACAACAUGGAUGGACCUUGAGGGCAUUACACUGAGCCAAGUAAGUCAGACAGAGAAAGACAAAUACGUAUGACCUCACUUAUAUGUGGAAUCUGCAAACAAAAACACAAACCGAGCUCGUAGAUACAGAGAACAGACUGGGGGUUGCCAGAGGUGGGGUUGGGGUGGGUGAAAUGGGUAAAGGUGGUCAAAAGGCAUAAAUUUUCAGUUAUCAAAUAAAAUAAGUUAUGGGGAUGCCCUGUACAGCAUGGUGACUAUAGUUAAUAAUGCUGUGUUGUAUAUUUGGACGUUGCUAAGAGGAUCUUAAAAUUACCUAUCACAGGAAAAAACAAUUUUGUAACUAUGUGUGGUGAUGGAUGUUAACUAGACUUGUAGUGAUCAUUUUGCAAUAUAUGCAAAUAUCCAAUCAUUACUUUGUACACCUGAAACUAACAUAAUGUUAUAUGCCAGUUAUACCUCAAUUAAAGAAAAAGAAAUGUGAGCAUUUAUUAUCACAGCUGGGGACUGACACCGUACUUGCCUCAGCUUCUGCUCAGCCCAGCAAACCCUGACAGGUCCGCCGUGGUUGACAAAGCCUGCUCCAGUCCACAAGCUCAGGUGGCCCCGUUUUACAGAGAAAGAAAUGCAGACGACUCAGGAGCCAAAGGACAUUUCUCGGACCCUACAACUAGUCCAGAGUCACUUCACCUCUCUGAGCCUCAGACUCCUAACUGUCCACUGGGAGUUGCCAUCACCAGAAGGCAGUGCCCAGGAAGUCAGGGACUUUAAUGGGCUGUUUGCUGUAUAUCCCAGGGCCUACAAUGGAAUAAGGUACAUGGUGCUCAAAAGUAUACGUCAGGGCUUUCUUUUCAUGCUUCAUGACCAUAGUGGCUGAAAAAAAUUCUGCUUUGGAAAGUCCGAGAGUUAAGAAUCUGUGGUUUUUAAUUGCACCUCCGGACACCACUGCGUCUGUUCCCAGCUGCUGGUUUCCUUACAGGCGGAGCGGAGGGACGCAACCGUGAUGCUGACACUCCUCCCUUUGAGUGGCAGGGUCUGGGCUCACGCCCCUUGAAUCCUGGCAGGCCUGUGACUAUGUCAGAAGAGACGUGACUUCUGAGGCUGGGUCAGAAAAGUAACAACGUUCUGUCCAGUUCUCUUGAGAUGUCUACCCUUGGAACUCAGUCGCCCUGGUGUGAGGAAGCACAAGUUACACAGAGGCCACGAGCACAUGCUCCAGUCCACAGCCCUGCUGUGGUCCCAGCUGACAGGCAGCCUCAACUGCCUGACAUGCACAUGAGGAAGACUCCAGCCCCAGCCGCCAUAACCGCAUGCCAGCUUGGAAGUUCCUGCUGACCCGAUUCUGCGGGAGCAACAUGCUGGAGUGGAGGGGGUAAGAGCAGAGCCAGGGAGGAGCCCU